GUGUCAGCCGCCGCGGUAAUACGUAGGGUGCGAGCGUUGUCCGGAAUUAUUGGGCGUAAAGAGCUCGUAGGCGGUGUGUCACGUCGGCCGUGAAAACCUGGGGCUUAACUCUGGGCGUGCGGUCGAUACGGGCAUCACUAGAGUUCGGCAGGGGAGACUGGAAUUCCUGGUGUAGCGGUGAAAUGCGCAGAUAUCAGGAGGAACACCGGUGGCGAAGGCGGGUCUCUGGGCCGAUACUGACGCUGAGGAGCGAAAGCAUGGGUAGCGAACAGGAUUAGAUACCCUGGUAGUCCAUGCCGUAAACGUUGGGCGCUAGGUGUGGGGUCCAUUCCACGGGUUCCGUGCCGCAGCUAACGCAUUAAGCGCCCCGCCUGGGGAGUACGGCCGCAAGGCUAAA
RNAcentral lists this ribosomal RNA (397 nucleotides) under uncultured bacterium. RNAcentral's name for it is "bacterial SSU rRNA". It matches the Rfam family "Bacterial small subunit ribosomal RNA", at positions 505 to 898 of the family's 1533-position model. The record is from RNAcentral.